RNAcentral lists this ribosomal RNA (373 nucleotides) under Brachonella spiralis. RNAcentral's name for it is "partial small subunit ribosomal RNA". It matches the Rfam family "Eukaryotic small subunit ribosomal RNA", at positions 30 to 432 of the family's 1831-position model. Lineage: Eukaryota; Ciliophora; Armophorea; Metopida; Metopidae. The record is from RNAcentral.
GCUUGUCUCAAAGAUUAAGCCAUGCAUGUGUAAGUAUAGUAUCUACGGCGAAACUGCGAAUGGCUCAUUAAAACAGUUAUAGUUUAUUUGAUGGAUCCCCUAUAUGGAUAACCGUAGUAAUUCUAGAGCUAAUACAUGCUUGAAAUGUCCGACUUUAAGAGGACAGUGUUUAUUAGAUAAAGCCAGCAUAAGGUGAUUCACAAUAUCUACACAAAUCGCACUUUUGGUACGAUGCGUCAUUCAAGUAUCUGCCCUAUCAGCUUUGAUGGUAGUGUAUUGGACUACCAUGGCUUUAACGGGUAACGGAGAAUUAGGGUUCGGUUCCGGAGAAAGAGCCUGAGAAACGGCUAUUACAUCUAAGGAAGGCAGCAGG